AGUUUGAUCAAUCACUACUUUGUUUUGCUUUGUUUUGUUGUUUUUAUAAAUAUAAGAAAAGAAGGGUCUUUGGAGGUUCAUAGGACAUGGUCAAUCUUUACAUUUCUUGUCCUAUGAUAUGAAUUUUCACCUCAAUCAUCAAUAACAAUCUUCAACUUGUUCAAAUUCUACUUCUUUUACCUCCACCUUCAAGAAAAUCCAGUGCAUUGAGUUCUUCCAAAAGUUUGGCUUGAAGAGAAAUUCCUCACCUCUACACUAGAUGCAGGAGUGUUCUGUGUGAUUCUGG
Molecule: long non-coding RNA, 286 nt
Organism: Solanum tuberosum (potato)
Lineage: Eukaryota; Viridiplantae; Streptophyta; Magnoliopsida; Solanales; Solanaceae
Exons: 3
Source: RefSeq, a predicted model, not a curated record